UCCAAGCCCGGAUGUGUUUUCCAACCUUU
This 29-nucleotide non-coding RNA is filed under the name Rattus norvegicus (Norway rat). Lineage: Eukaryota; Metazoa; Chordata; Mammalia; Rodentia; Muridae. The record is from RNAcentral.